CUAUUAAAAUUACUUACUUAAGGUUAUAAUAAAACAUUUAAUUAUAGCUCUAAAAAAACAUAAGCAUCUCUUAAAACAGUAUAGAUAACUAUUACCAAUAUCUGUCUGGCCCAAAGGGACUUCCCAUGCAGUUACCAGAGAAGGGGGAAGGAGCCAAGGGGAGCACAAGUCCUCUGCCCAGAAGGAGAGAGGGGAAUUACAAAGUUUUCCGCUCAUCUGCCUACCAGGAAGAUAGAAAGAAGAAGAGGAAUGGUGCUUUACUCCCAAGGAAGAGAAAGAAGAGCCUUCUCUUUCUCUGUCUAAGAGAAAGGAGAGUAAAGAGAGAAAGAGAAAGGGUGUUUAGAAAAUCUGGAUCAUUUAUGCCCUUCCCACUACUUCUAGUAUGGUUAGAUCAUAUGGUGCUAGAGGCAGUACGUAUGAAUUAUCAUCACCACCACCAUGACCUCUAUGGAUAUGAUCUAGGACGAAGAUCUUUGAGAGAAGCAGGAACCCUUUGGGCCGCUGACCCUGCUCCCAGCCUGACCUCUGCCUACAUUGUCCCGCAGAGGAUAUCUAUGGAUAUCUGUCAGGUAACUGUCUCUGCUGGUGCUUCAUCCCCUGCCACUUCAGCUGCUGAAGACCUGGAAAAGAAAGUUCUCACCACCAAAGAACAAGGAGGUUCAAUAUCAGAAAUAGAUAUGAUCUUAUCAAUCAAAGAAACAGUAAAGAGUAUAUAUUUGUACAUCAGCCUUCUCUUCCUUGCAUCUGGAACACUAGAACAUUGCUAUUUGCCUUGCCAAUGAACCCCAAGAACAUUUCCAUUUGCUCUGCUGCUGAAUCUUCCUAUAUGUGUUGUCUCCACCUCUUAGAAUCUAAAUUUCUUGGGAGUAGGGACUGUCACACUUUUCUGUUGUGUCCUGAGUGCUUAACCCAACCCAGUGCUUUGCACAUGGUAAGUGCCUAAUAAGUAUUCAUUUAUUCACUCACAUAGCAUAAGAUCAUCAUGGAUUUUUUUUGGGGGGGGGGUGUCAUGUCACAAUAUUGACUCAUAUUGACCUUUCAGUCUAUUAAUAACCCAGGUCUUUUUUUUUUUACCUGAAUUGUUAUCUAGCCACACCUCCCCCACUAUGUACUACUGAAAAUGAUUUUUUGAUCCCAAUUAUAGGACUGUACAUUUGUCUUUAACGCAUUUAAUCUUUUAGAUCUGGUCCAUUGUUCUACUCAAUUGAGAUAUUUUUGGAUAUCACUUCUUUUGACCAAUGUGUUAUCUAUCCCAUCCCAAUUUAUGUCAUCCACAGCUUUGAUAUGUAUGCUAUUUAUGUUUUUAUCCAC
RNAcentral lists this long non-coding RNA (1311 nucleotides) under Vombatus ursinus (common wombat). RNAcentral's name for it is "lncRNA (ENSVURG00010016716.1)". The record is from RNAcentral. Lineage: Eukaryota; Metazoa; Chordata; Mammalia; Diprotodontia; Vombatidae.